This 214-nucleotide long non-coding RNA is filed under the name Prunus persica (peach). RNAcentral describes it as "long non-coding RNA (PPER_LNC008579)". The record is from RNAcentral. Lineage: Eukaryota; Viridiplantae; Streptophyta; Magnoliopsida; Rosales; Rosaceae.
CAAAGGUUAGCCUAGGUUGUUAGGAUUAACGUUCGGCUUAUAGUAUGUCAAGAAUAAAUUUCUCUUUCAUUGUAACAAAAAUAAAAAUUGAGAGAAGUAUUUUACCAUUAUAUGAAAUACGAAGGAGCACAAUGAGGAAAGUUGACUUGAAUGAACCUUUCUCCAUAUCUAUUCAAUUUGUUGAAGGCAAGGAAGGAUUAUAGGUUCGUACGUG